RNAcentral lists this unclassified non-coding RNA (203 nucleotides) under rhizosphere metagenome. Its description in RNAcentral is "partial ribosomal RNA internal transcribed spacer region". The record is from RNAcentral.
GUAGUCACCCGGGUUGCCGCAAGGCCUCUCGGGUAACCUACCACCCUUUGUUUAUUACACUUUGUUGCUUUGGCAAGCCUGCCCUCGGGCUGCUGGCUCCGGCCGGCGAGCGCUUGCCAGAGGGCCCCAACUCGUGGAUAGUUUAUGUUUGUCUGAGUACGAUAUAAUCGUUUACAACUUUUAACAAUGGAUCUCUUGGCUCU